RNAcentral lists this long non-coding RNA (606 nucleotides) under Cricetulus griseus (Chinese hamster). RNAcentral describes it as "lncRNA (ENSCGRG00015033858.1)". The record is from RNAcentral. Lineage: Eukaryota; Metazoa; Chordata; Mammalia; Rodentia; Cricetidae.
AUCACCAUCACCAUCAUCACCAUCACCACCAUCAUCAUCAUCAUCAUCACCAUCACCACCAUCACCAUCACCUUCCUUUCCUGAGAGAGAUCCAGGGCACAGAGCGUUUUGGAAUCUUGCCAAUGACCAGCAGCCAUCUCUCAGCAUCCUUGGAGGAUCAGUUCCAGUUCACUCUGAGAUACCCAGUCCCCGGGUCCUGGGGAUCCUUGCGUGAAACGGCGCACUGCGGCACACUGUGGCACACUGUGGCACACUGCGGCACACUGCGGCACACUGCGGAGCACUGCGGCACACUGCGGAGCACUGCGGCACACUGCGGCACACUGCGGAGCACUGCGGCGCACUGCGGCACACUGGCGCACUGCGGCACACUGCGGCGCACUGCGGAGCACUGCGGCACACUGCUUGCCUGUGACCUAUGCCCAUCUCCAGAUUAGUGCCCUCUGGUUCGAAUGCUGAGCAAAUGGCCACCGUACCACAUUGUCGAGGGGAUAAAGACAAGGUGGGGAAAACCUGUCCAAGUUUAGCCCUCACACGUUUUCCUCCAAGCAUUUUUGAGCCACUGCUGAUUGAGUCUUAGGUCUCCGAGGCCACAGACAGUCGCGG